UGCAGGAGUCCAAGGAAGAGAGAGAAGUGGGGGAAAGGCAAUGAACAUAACGCCAAAUAAAGGGAAAAAGAAGAGGAGCGGCAAUGCGGGAAGGAAGGGGGAGGAGAUUUGCUGGACUCAGGGAUGUUUAGGGGUCCGUCAUCAAUUUCUUCAGAUCCCUCAUUAGAUGGCCCCGUUGUGAUAUUGGUGCUGGGAACUGAAGUACAGAAGCCUGGAUCCACAACGUACGAGCCAUGGGGACUUCCAUACAAGGCAUGCACAAGUUGGUGCCAAGAGUGAUCCAAGAAGAUGGACUCUGAAGUGGAACUGCAGAGCUGGCUCAUCCUCCUGCUGGCUGGCAGUGAAGCCCCGGCCCUGGCUUGCCG
Molecule: long non-coding RNA, 365 nt
Filed under: Homo sapiens (human)
Lineage: Eukaryota; Metazoa; Chordata; Mammalia; Primates; Hominidae
Description: HSALNT0206481
Source: RNAcentral